GACGAACGCUGGCGGCGUGCUUAACACAUGCAAGUCGAACGGCAAGGCCUUUUUCGCGUGCUACUCGCGAGGGCAACGGGUGCGUGACACGUGAGUACCCUGCCCUUCUCCUUUCUAUACCUUCACGGAACUCUGGCUAAUACAGUAUAACAGCUCCUCCUCCUUAGUGCGGGUGUUCACAUUUUGGCGGGUGGUGAGGGAGUCGCGGGGUAUCAGUUCGUUUGGGUGGUAGUGGGUUUCCAAGGCUUUGUCGGGUUGCCGGCCUGGGAGGGUGACCGGCCACAUUGGGACUGAGAUACGGCCCAGAAGCCUACGGGAGGAAGCAGUGGGGAAUAUUGCACAAUGGGUGGAAGCCUGAUGCAAGAACGCCGGGUGCGGGAUGACGGCCUUUGGGUUGUAAACCGCUUUCGCUCAUUACGAAGCCUUGUGUGACGGUAGUGGGUAAAGAAGCACCGGCUAACUACGUG
This 467-nucleotide ribosomal RNA is filed under the name uncultured bacterium. RNAcentral describes it as "partial 16S ribosomal RNA". It matches the Rfam family "Bacterial small subunit ribosomal RNA", at positions 28 to 507 of the family's 1533-position model. The record is from RNAcentral.